UACGUAGGGUGCGAGCGUUGUCCGGAAUUAUUGGGCGUAAAGAGCUCGUAGGCGGUGUGUCGCGUCGGCCGUGAAAACCUGCAGCUUAACUGUGGGCGUGCGGUCGAUACGGGCAUCACUGGAGUUCGGCAGGGGAGACUGGAAUUCCUGGUGUAGCGGUGAAAUGCGCAGAUAUCAGGAGGAACACCGGUGGCGAAGGCGGGUCUCUGGGCCGAUACUGACGCUGAGGAGCGAAAGCGUGAGGAGCAAACAGG
Molecule: ribosomal RNA, 254 nt
Filed under: uncultured bacterium
Lineage: Bacteria
Description: partial 16S ribosomal RNA
Rfam family: Bacterial small subunit ribosomal RNA
Source: RNAcentral